GGGGAAUUAGCUCAGUUGGCUAGAGCGCCUGCCUUGCACGCAGGAGGUCAUCGGUUCGACUCCGAUAUUCUCCA
Molecule: transfer RNA, 74 nt
Filed under: Salinivirga cyanobacteriivorans
Lineage: Bacteria; Pseudomonadati; Bacteroidota; Bacteroidia; Bacteroidales; Salinivirgaceae
Also listed under: 3 other names
Rfam family: tRNA
About the family: Transfer RNA (tRNA) molecules are approximately 80 nucleotides in length. Their secondary structure includes four short double-helical elements and three loops (D, anti-codon, and T loops).
Source: Rfam by way of RNAcentral